RNAcentral lists this ribosomal RNA (253 nucleotides) under uncultured bacterium. RNAcentral describes it as "partial 16S ribosomal RNA". It matches the Rfam family "Bacterial small subunit ribosomal RNA", at positions 524 to 776 of the family's 1533-position model. The record is from RNAcentral.
UACGUAGGGGGCAAGCGUUAUCCGGAUUUACUGGGUGUAAAGGGGGCGCAGACGGCGAUGCAAGCCAGGAGUGAAAGCCCGGGGCCCAACCCCGGGACUGCUCUUGGAACUGCGUGGCUGGAGUGCAGGAGGGGCAGGCGGAAUUCCUGGUGUAGCGGUGAAAUGCGUAGAUAUCAGGAGGAACACCGGUGGCGAAGGCGGCCUGCUGGACUGCAACUGACGUUGAGGCGCGAAAGCUGGGGGAGCGAACAGG